RNAcentral lists this non-coding RNA (67 nucleotides) under Janibacter sp. The record is from RNAcentral. Lineage: Bacteria; Bacillati; Actinomycetota; Actinomycetes; Micrococcales; Intrasporangiaceae.
GUGAGGCUCGGCGAGCGGGCCUGCGGACGAGGGAGCCGUACCCGCACCACGACAAGACGGACUCACG